RNAcentral lists this transfer RNA (61 nucleotides) under Paragonimus westermani. RNAcentral's name for it is "tRNA-Tyr". Lineage: Eukaryota; Metazoa; Platyhelminthes; Trematoda; Plagiorchiida; Troglotrematidae. The record is from RNAcentral.
CCGACUUGGUAUAGAUUGGUGUACGUGAGAUUGUAAAUCUUGAGGGGGUUUUCCAGUCGGA